RNAcentral lists this ribosomal RNA (380 nucleotides) under uncultured eukaryote. RNAcentral describes it as "partial 18S ribosomal RNA". It matches the Rfam family "Eukaryotic small subunit ribosomal RNA", at positions 592 to 976 of the family's 1831-position model. The record is from RNAcentral.
CAAUAGCGUAUAUUAAAGUUGUUGCAGUUAAAAAGCUCGUAGUUGGAUUUGUGGCGUACGGUGUGUUCCGGGCACUUGUUGUCUGAGUAACCUGCUGAUGCCAUCCUUGGGUGGAACCUGUGUGGCAUUAGGUUGUCGUGCAGGGGAUGCCCAUCAUUUACUGUGAAAAAAUUAGAGUGUUCAAAGCAGGCUUAUGCCGUUGAAUAUAUUAGCAUGGAAUAAUGAGAUAGGACUUUUUUGCUAUUUUGUUGGUUUGCGCAAAGAGGUAAUGAUUAAUAGGGACAGUUGGGGGUAUUCGUAUUCCAUUGUCAGAGGUGAAAUUCUUGGAUUUUUGGAAGACGAACUACUGCGAAAGCAUUUACCAAGGAUGUUUUCAUUAA